AGGACGAACGCUGGCGGCGUGCUUAACACAUGCAAGUCGAACGGAUCACUUUCGGGUGGUUAGUGGCGAACGGGUGAGUAACACGUGGGUAACCUGCCCCUCACUCUGGGAUAACUCCGGGAAACCGGGGCUAAUACUGGAUAUGACCUCAUGCUGCAUGGUGUGGGGUGGAAAGUUUUUCGGUGGGGGAUGGGCCCGCGGCCUAUCAGCUUGUUGGUGGGGUGAUGGCCUACCAAGGCGUCGACGGGUAGCCGGCCUGAGAGGGCGACCGGCCACACUGGGACUGAGACACGGCCCAGACUCCUGCGGGAGGCAGCAGUGGGGAAUAUUGCGCAAUGGGCGGAAGCCUGACGCAGCGACGCCGCGUGAGGGAUGACGGCCUUCGGGUUGUAAACCUCUUUCAGCACAGACCAAGGCCAGUUUUUGAUUGGUUGAGUGUAUGUGCAGAAGAAGCACCGGCUAACUACGUGCCAGCAGCCGCGGUAA
Molecule: ribosomal RNA, 486 nt
Filed under: uncultured bacterium
Lineage: Bacteria
Description: SSU rRNA
Rfam family: Bacterial small subunit ribosomal RNA
Source: RNAcentral